RNAcentral lists this transfer RNA (71 nucleotides) under Marmota monax (woodchuck). It matches the Rfam family "tRNA". Rfam says of the family: Transfer RNA (tRNA) molecules are approximately 80 nucleotides in length. Lineage: Eukaryota; Metazoa; Chordata; Mammalia; Rodentia; Sciuridae. The record is from Rfam by way of RNAcentral.
GGGGUUGUGGCUCAGUGUUAGAGUGCUUGCCUAGCAUGCAUGAGGCACUGGGUUUGAUCCCCGGAACCACA